RNAcentral lists this ribosomal RNA (493 nucleotides) under uncultured bacterium. RNAcentral describes it as "bacterial SSU rRNA". It matches the Rfam family "Bacterial small subunit ribosomal RNA", at positions 24 to 518 of the family's 1533-position model. The record is from RNAcentral.
UCAGGAUGAACGCUGGCGGCGUGCCUAACACAUGCAAGUCGAGCGAGAAACUCAUGACCAAUACUCGGUAGCGUGAUGAGCGGAAAGCGGCGGACGGGUGAGUAACGCGUAGGCAACCUGCCCCUUGCAGAGGGAUAGCCUCGGGAAACCGGGAUUAAAACCUCAUAAUGCGUAACGGAGACAUCUCCGAUACGCCAAAGAUUUAUCGGCAAGGGAUGGGCCUGCGUCUGAUUAGUUAGUUGGUGGGGUAACGGCCUACCAAGGCAGCGAUCAGUAGCCGACCUGAGAGGGUGAUCGGCCACAUUGGAACUGAGACACGGUCCAAACUCCUACGGGAGGCAGCAGUGGGGAAUAUUGCACAAUGGGCGAAAGACCCUGAUGCAGCAACGCCGCGUGAAGGAUGAAGGCCCUUGGGUCGUAAACUUCUGUUCUAAGGGAAGAUAAUGACGGUACCUUAGGAGCAAGUCCCGGCUAACUACGUGCCAGCCGCGGC